RNAcentral lists this ribosomal RNA (245 nucleotides) under uncultured bacterium. Its description in RNAcentral is "partial 16S ribosomal RNA". It matches the Rfam family "Bacterial small subunit ribosomal RNA", at positions 524 to 768 of the family's 1533-position model. The record is from RNAcentral.
UACGGAGGGGACGAGCGUUGUUCGGAAUUAUUGGGCGUAAAGAGCGUGUAGGUGGUCAGAAAAGUCAGACGUGAAAUCCCUCUGCUCAACGGAGGAAGGGCGUUUGAAACUUUCUGGCUUGAGUAUGGGAGAGGAGAGUGGAAUUCCCAGUGUAGCGGUGAAAUGCGUAGAUAUUGGGAAGAACACCGGUGGCGUAGGCGGCUCUCUGGCCCAUUACUGACACUGAGACGCGAAAGCUAGGGGAG